This 352-nucleotide ribosomal RNA is filed under the name uncultured bacterium. RNAcentral's name for it is "bacterial SSU rRNA". It matches the Rfam family "Bacterial small subunit ribosomal RNA", at positions 527 to 881 of the family's 1533-position model. The record is from RNAcentral.
GGAGGAUUCAAGCGUUAUCCGGAUUUAUUGGGUCUAAAGGGUGCGUAGGCGGUUUGAUAAGUUAGAGGUGAAAUUUCGGGGCUCAACCCUGAACGUGCCUCUAAUACUGUUGAGCUAGAGAGUAGUUGCGGUAGGCGGAAUGUAUGGUGUAGCGGUGAAAUGCUUAGAGAUCAUACAGAACACCGAUUGCGAAGGCAGCUUACCAAACUAUAUCUGACGUUGAGGCACGAAAGCGUGGGGAGCAAACAGGAUUAGAUACCCUGGUAGUCCACGCAGUAAACGAUGAUAACUCGUUGUCGGCGAUACACAGUCGGUGACUAAGCGAAAGCGAUAAGUUAUCCACCUGGGGAGU